RNAcentral lists this ribosomal RNA (808 nucleotides) under Lapitha sp. OSUC 188496. RNAcentral's name for it is "partial 28S ribosomal RNA". It matches the Rfam family "Eukaryotic large subunit ribosomal RNA", at positions 399 to 946 of the family's 3401-position model. The record is from RNAcentral. Lineage: Eukaryota; Metazoa; Arthropoda; Insecta; Hymenoptera; Scelionidae.
GUGAAACCGUUCAGGGGUAAACCUGAGAAACCCGAAAGAUCGAAUGGGGAGACUCAUCGUCAGCGCGGUUGGCUUCCGUGCGGUUCGCGAUGUUUGAGGCGGUAUUAACGUACCUGCCGACGACACGCGUCCGCCUGCGGUAUGUCCGGCCACGUCGGCGUGCACUUCUCCUCUAGUAGAACGUCGCGACCCGCUGGGUGCCGGUUUAAGGGCCGAGAUCGUCGACUGUUCCGUCGCUUCGGCGCACGGUAACAGACGCUCGGUUUUCCCGACCGGCUGCUCGGCGGUAAGCACAAGGUAUUUGGCCGCAAUUCGAAUGCGUUCAGACCCGUCGCAAGCUUGACCUGAUUUUUGAAUUUGAAUCCCGGAGUGCGGACUUUGCGCCGUCCCCGGGCCUGGUCGGCUGUUGGCCGACGGUGCUCUCGAACUGGCUUAAAUUUACCGGUCGGCGACGCUAUUGCUUUGGGUACUUUCAGGACCCGUCUUGAAACACGGACCAAGGAGUCUAACAUGUGCGCGAGUCAUUGGGACAUUAAAACCUAAAGGCGCAUUGAAAGAGAAGAUCGACCUAGCGUCGAUCGAGGGAGGAUGGGCCGCGUUUAGAUGCGGCUCCGCACUCCCGGGGCGUCUCGUUCUCAUUGCGAGUUGAGGCGCACCCAGAGCGUACACGUUGGGACCCGAAAGAUGGUGAACUAUGCCUGGUCAGGACGAAGUCAGGGGAAACCCUGAUGGAGGUCCGUAGCGAUUCUGACGUGCAAAUCGAUCGUCGGAACUGGGUAUAGGGGCGAAAGACUAAUCGAACCAUCUA